CUUCAGCGAUCCCAGCCACAGUGGCCGGUCGGCGGGCCGUCCCCGGCCGUAGGUGGCCAGCAGCGCCUGCGCCUC
RNAcentral lists this antisense RNA (75 nucleotides) under Micromonospora peucetia. RNAcentral's name for it is "ASpks TB sRNA". It matches the Rfam family "ASpks TB sRNA". Lineage: Bacteria; Bacillati; Actinomycetota; Actinomycetes; Micromonosporales; Micromonosporaceae. The record is from RNAcentral.